AUUCAGAAUGAACUGUUUUAAUUCUUUUAUCUACAGUUUGCUGACUCUGGUAUCUUAAGUUUGUGAGUUAAUUUUCAUGGGAUCUGUUUCAUGUUGGGUGGCCAGUAUAAGGGACUGAGCUCAAGACAAUAAUGGCUGCAGUAAAAAAAUUAAUGCUGAGGUGACAUUCUAUACUUUGUUUUUUAAAUUUUUGUUUAUUUACUUUCAUUUAAUUUGAAAAAUGGAAAGAGAGAGGGAGAUCGAGACAGAGAUCCUCCAUCCACUGAUUCUCCACUUAUAUCCCUACAGCAGUCAUAUCUGGACCAGAUAAAGAAACACCUGCUCACAUCCUUUGGAACUAUAGCUUUCCAGUAAGCACGCUGGGAAUCUCUACACCAACGACUUUUCUAAGCUACCCACAAAAACUUCAAAGAAAAUGAGGAUUUCACAGAUUCGCCAGAUAUAUACUUCCUUCCUCUUAGGAACCCUGUAUCUCUAUCUUUAUUGCUGUUUUGGCUUUUAGAUUAAAGAUAACAAAUAAAUGGAGGAAGAUAUAUAAACAAAUGAAGUUGUAUGAGUCAGCUACAUUGGAUAAAGAUCUCCCAGCUCCAGUCAAACCUUCAGAUGACUUCAGCCCAAGAUACAACUUCAUGAGAGAAUUUGAACCUGAACUCCCAUUUGCAAGCCACUCCUGGAUUCCUAACCUGCAGAAACUUAUGUGCGAUGGUAAAUAUCUGUUGUUUCAAGUCAUUGUAUUCUAGGACAAUUUGUUAUGCAGCAAUAUGUAGCUGACACAAGUGGGAACAGGGUAUGCACUAAGGCUCAAUCAGUUUGCAUGAGAUAAACCACAUAGAUAAUUGUAGGUCCUGUUAGUACUUUAGUUCAAGAACAACAGUGAGUUGUUAAAGGGCGUCCAGCAGAGGAAAGAUGACAUUAAUUGUGUUCUUAAACUUCUUUCUCUUGCACAGUGCUGAACACAGAGCUUUACACUAGGUAGGCUGUAGCUAGUAUAGGAUCUCAGUAACAGAACACAAAGAAGAUUUGAGACUCCCAGACUAAGA
Molecule: non-coding RNA, 1040 nt
Organism: Oryctolagus cuniculus (rabbit)
Lineage: Eukaryota; Metazoa; Chordata; Mammalia; Lagomorpha; Leporidae
Source: RefSeq, a predicted model, not a curated record